UUGCGUUAGGGAUUGCAGUGGAAAUCCUUUUUGUCCGCCUUUUCGGCGGGUAAAAAGAUUGUAACGGAAAGCCCGCCCUUGU
This 82-nucleotide small RNA is filed under the name Flavobacterium xanthum. RNAcentral's name for it is "Flavo-1 RNA". It matches the Rfam family "Flavo-1 RNA". Lineage: Bacteria; Pseudomonadati; Bacteroidota; Flavobacteriia; Flavobacteriales; Flavobacteriaceae. The record is from RNAcentral.